This 2563-nucleotide long non-coding RNA is filed under the name Pongo abelii (Sumatran orangutan). RNAcentral's name for it is "lincRNA". The record is from RNAcentral. Lineage: Eukaryota; Metazoa; Chordata; Mammalia; Primates; Hominidae.
GCUGCUGCUGGAAAGGCCAGCCCGGCUGGAGAGACCUGGCAUUGGCGCAUCUGGGAACCGACGUCCGCGCGCGGCUGGCUGGAAUGCUGGACUCGCCUCCGCAGCGCUGGCCUGCAGGGAUUAGAAGACAUGUGGGGUCAAGGAACAGGAAGCUGACCUGGAUGGAAGUUGAACAGUGAUCUUUGCUCUCUGCCUGGCUCCUGAGUCCUCUACCAUGUUCCUGGAGAAGGGGAGCCAGCCAGGUCUUCAUUCAAACCAAACCUUGGAUGGGACCCAUCUGCCUCUGCAGGUGACUGUAACAACAUGCAAAUGGCGAUUUCUGCUGGGGGGUCAAGGAACCUCCCUGGAGGAGGUGUAUCUGGACAACAGGGAAAGAAAGGAGCUGGAGAAGAAAGGCAGAAGAAUUGGGUCCUGGUUCAGGUGAAGUUUUCCCAGCUAGAACAAUGACAAUGUCAAUAUUCCACAAAGGUGGCUUCUGUUUAUUUAGCACUUGCUGUGUUCCCACAAGUCUUCCUCUACCUGCCCUCUCCCCAACCCUCAUCUCACUCUCCCAGAGCCCCAGAGCACACCAAUGGACACCAUCACCUCUCAGGGGCAGAUCAGCACAGAGACGUGAAGCACACAGGCAGCUGCUGGAAAAAUAACGAGGAAUUGCAAUGGUGUGCCCCUCAGUUGAGCGCAAGCUCUCUUCUGCCUUCUCACCUUGGGCAAGUUACCUUCCUGUUCCAGGCCUCAGUUUCUCCAUGUGUGCAGUGAAAGGGCUGCAGAGAAAUCUCUCGCUGUUCCCCAAUCUACAUUCAUUGUGUCCCAAGCCUUCUAAUAUCUGUUCAACAAAGUGUACCAAAUCUCAGCUACUGGACUGAGACUCAGGGGUCUAUCUGACUUGAAUUGAAAAUGCAAAUUACUGAAGAGGGAGGGAGGGAGGAGUGCUGAAGCUUGAAUGGGCUUAUCAGAUUUCCUUCUCCUAUGGCCCAGAUGCAGGCAUAGUCCAGGCGAUUCCUGUGGCUCAGAAUCUGCCAGGUGAUUCCCCUGGCUCAGAAUCUGCCAGGCUCAAGCACUCAUUGACAGCCUACUGUGUACCAAUCCUGGGCUGAGUCCCAACCUGGGGAUGUCUUAGAGGAGGCCAGGAUGUGGCCUCAUGUUCUGGAUGCUCUCAAAUUUAAACAGGCUAAACCCACUUUGCAUUGUAUGUUAGGGGUGGUGCUUGUGGGACAAAGGGGGCUGUCAGAACAUUCUGGAUGCUGCAUGAAGUUGACUUUGCCAGGAGAGACUGAGUUGUGGGGGGAAGGCAGCUACUGUAAUAAUUUGGCGAAGGAGUGGGCUAAGCAGGAGCAGGGGCCGAGCGAGGGAGAGAGGGAAUGAGUAAGAAAGGCCCAGGGUACUGAUUUUACUGGGACUUCAGGGACAGAUGUGGGGCGAGAGGGAUGCUGGAAGUGAAGGAGGGAAAGUGCAGAGGCUUUCUGGGGAUUAAUAGGCAAUGAUCUCUAUGAGGGCGUGGUGAGUAGGCCCCAAACAUCUGGGGACUUCCCUGCCUGCCAUCCCUCUGUUUCUCUCUUCCUUUCCUACUGCCUAAGGCCUGGCCCUGUUGCACAUGCCCUGCCCUGGCCCCCAGAGUCCCCUUCUCUCCUGGCUGGGAGAUUAGGACUCUGCUGUGCCUACAGCAUUCUCAACCUCAAGUCAAGGUGGCCCUUUGGAGCCCAGGAGGCCACAUGGCUGAGUCAGGGCUGAGUCACCACCCCCUAAGGGCCUUGCCAUUUCCUGUGGAGAAGCCUCUUUACUGGCAGGGUUCUGUGCUCAGGUGGGAAAUCUGGAGAGGUCGGGGGCAGGGCUUCAUCUACUUUUACCCACUAACUCCCUAGACACUCCACUGGGGGUAGAGGGUUCCUACGUGUAUGAUGAUCAAAACAUGUGUCUGUGCACAUGGGCCCUUAUGCAUUCACAGGUGUUUGCCUAUGCGACUGCAUGUCUGAAUGUUUUAUGUAUAUUUGAAUAUAGAUAGGGAACAAAUAUUUAUUGAGCACAUAUUAUGUGUGCAGCCUUUUAUGUAUGUUACUUUCUAAUAACCCUAGGAGGUAUAGAUGCCUCCCAGGCUAUGGUUGAACAUACUGACAUGCCCAAGGUGCAGGAGGUAUGAAUACCUCCCCAGUGUGGCUGAUAACACCCUAGGUUUCUCCAACUCCACAAUGAUGGGCUUUCCUCCACAGCCGGUUCCUCAGGGGCAGGAGUAAGAAGUGUGUGUGUCUGUAUUUAUCCUUCCGCCAGUGGCUGUGAUUGGUCCUGUGGUUGGAAACAGGGUCAAGUAAGGCCCUUGGGAGUAGCUGGGUGAAUGGACGAGGGUGGCGUCCACCUUGGACAUGGCACAUACUUCUGGUCCAGUAUCCAUGUGGCUGGCCAACCUGGACCUGCCCUAUUAGGGGCCAUCGUCCUCAUGGCUCAUCAGUGCUGAGUUUUGUUGCCUUCUUCGUAAUGCAAUACUAAUGGAUACAGGAAUGUAUCUGCCGUACACUAGAUGAAACAUGGUUAUUUGCUCAGGUAGAAAUAAAGACUGAAAUACCAAAGUGGG